UAUUGGACAAUGGGGGAAACCCUGAUCCAGCCAUGCCGCGUGAGUGAUGAAGGCCUUCGGGUUGUAAAGCUCUUUUAGCGGGGAAGAUAAUGACGGUACCCGCAGAAUAAGCCCCGGCUAACUUCGUGCCAGCAGCCGCGGUAAUACGAAGGGGGCUAGCGUUGUUCGGAAUUACUGGGCGUAAAGCGCACGUAGGCGGAUCGGUCAGUUAGGGGUGAAAUCCCGGGGCUCAACCCCGGAACUGCCUUUAAUACUGCCGGUCUAGAGUUCGAGAGAGGUGAGUGGAAUUCCGAGUGUAGAGGUGAAAUUCGUAGAUAUUCGGAGGAACACCAGUGGCGAAGGCGGCUCACUGGCUCGAUACUGACGCUGAGGUGCGAAAGCGUGGGGAGC
Molecule: ribosomal RNA, 390 nt
Filed under: uncultured bacterium
Lineage: Bacteria
Description: bacterial SSU rRNA
Rfam family: Bacterial small subunit ribosomal RNA
Source: RNAcentral